GUCUGGCUGGAACAGGUGACCAUCAGAGUGGAGCGAACUGAGCUUGAAAUAUUUUAUUGUCAUGCACUUUUUCUGCUCCAAAGCAUGAAAGUUAAUAACUGAGAUAUUUUCAUAGAAGAUAAUUGCUAUUUUUGGUUUUUUUGUUGGCCUGUAAAAAAAGAUUAAACUUACUCUAAAAUGGGAACUGGACAGACUACAGAUUGAAGAAUAGAAAAUCCCUUUAUUGUCCCUCAGUGGGGAAACUGUGGUGUCACAGCAGCAAUUAUGUAGCCAAACAGGAGAGUAAAACAUAAUAAUAAAGAGUAAACUAAAAGAAAACAUAAAACAGACAAACUUAAUAUAUCCAAAAGGUAAAACAAUCUAAAUACUGAAUAUAUACACAUUGUAAGGAGUAAAAAGAGUAAAUAAAAAUUGAGACAUAAGUAACGAGUGAUGUGUUUUAUUUAAAAUGCACUUGCUCGUGUGUAAUUUGGUCAUAUCAGAUUCUGUGUUCAGAUGCAAAAAUAAGUUUCUUUCCAAUUGAAUAACAAGACAUCUGUAAAUAAACUUUUCAACAAAUAUUGAGUUUGGCCCGCAAUUUUGUCCCAGUUUUUAAUUUUGUCCCAUUGUGAAUUUGAGUUUGACACCCCUGCUUUAGGCUGUGCGUGCAGUAAUAAGGAGACAGACACUGGCUGAGCCGGUGCAUAAAUAUUUGAUUUUCUGGCGGUGGGCAAUAGUUAAAGAAAUAUUAUUUUUUUAAAAUAAAAUACGUCUUUAAAUUUUGGCCAAUGAGCUCUGGCACAUAAUAAACAGAAAUACUGCUUCAUCAUUUCAUGUACCUUUGAAUCUACAGUUGGUCUUAUUUAAAAAUGUUUUUUUUUAUUAAAACUAUCAUAGCUGGAGUGUUUAAAAAAUAAAAGUGCCAUAAGAUAUUUGGAAGUUGUUAUUUUAUUUCUAUUACCCAACAGUUAUCCAAUCCAUGUUUGUUCUGUUUUUUUCCUCUAGGAAUCAUUGAGGCAUGACAUCCUUCAGAGGUCGUACAAUCGACUGUCAAGCAUCUUGGAGAGGCAACCUGUUGAUGGGGAAGGGCUACAGUUUGCUUGUUACCAUUAUUUCAUUUUAUUAGGUGCUCUAGGUGACAUUGUUGAUGUAGGAGAGGAUAUACUUUCUGCUCUUUCAGAUCUGAAUACUAUUAUCCAGCAGGAAAGAGAUAAUCAAAAGACAUUAAUAACAGUAGAGCUGAAACAACUAAUCGAUUUAAUCGAUUAUAAUCGAUUAUUAAAAUAGUUAACAACUUUUUUAGUCAUCGAUUAGUUGUUUAAUAAUCAUAUUUUACCGCAUAAAGUCUAUUUUUACCACAAUCUGACAUCGGUUACAAGCUGUUAAAUUUGCCGCCAGUGUGUGGCAGUAAUGAGCCACUGAUCUACCAGUGGAGCCGUAGAAGAAGAAAUGAGCCAAUGAGUGCCCUCGGUUUUCAUGACGUAUCACGUUACUGACGCUCAUCUUGCUGUGAGAGAUGGCGGAACAAGAGGAAAUACGGAAGAAAAAUAGAAGCGACAAAACUUUAGAGAAACCCCGGACAAAAACCUCACGAGUAUGGGAGCACUUCACUCUAGAUGCCUUUAAAAGGCAAAAUAUGCAAAAACCAUCUAGCAUGGCACGGAAGCACGACGUCCCUAAGUGAACAUUUGAGACGAAAACGUGGGGGCUGAUGCAGCAGAGGAAGAGCACCGCGGUCAAGUGAGCCGUCAUUUGGAAGAGCCAGCCCGAAAAAAAACAAGCAACGAUGGACAACUACAUGGGGAACAAGACACUCACCCCCCAGCAAUUCAUACCACUUACAAACUCUAUUCUAAACAUGCUGGUAAAAGACAUGAGGCCACUAUCCAUGGUGGAAGAAGCAGGCUUCCAGCUAAUGCUAAAAAAUUAUUCUGGACUGAUAUUUUGCACUGUUUAGCUCAUUUUAUACUGCUGACUGUGUUCAUGUGCAAUAAAAUAGAUUGCAGUCAACUGCACAAUUCUCUUAUGUUUUUUUUUCUUAACUGAAAUGCAUGUAUAGGUUAAAUAGCUAAACAAUAACAAACCGAUUAAUCGAUUAAUCGAAAAAAUAAUCGACAGAUUAAUCGAUUAUGAAAAUAAUCGUUAGUUGCAGCCCUAAAUAACAGUACACGUUGAAAGAGGUUCUCGUGGCCGCCCACGAUUGGUGGUGUCGCGAGAGGCUCUCGAACACCUUGUGGAAAUGAGUCUGCCAACAAGUGUCAUUACCAAAUUCCUUGGUGUAUUCAGAGCAACUCUAUUCAGACGGAUGUCUGAAAACAAUAUAUCUGUAUCUGCCACAUACAGUAAAUGCAGUGACGAGGAACUAGAUUCAUUUAUCUCAGGAAUUAAGAGCAACAUGCCAGAUGCUGGGUACAGGGUAGUCCGAGGUACUCUGCUUGCCCAGGGACAUAGAGUGCAGUGGGACCGACUGUAUGCAUCCAUGCAUCGUGUGGACAGUGCGGGUGUACUUGCUCGAAUGACACGUCUGGGAUGUGUAGUGAGAAGAACGUAGACAGUUCCUUGCCCAAAGUAUAUGGUGCACAUUGACCCAAUCACAAGCUCAUCAGGUAAUGUCUGUGUGUAAUUGGAGAUGUUAUUUUUUGUUUUGGGAGUUGCAUUUGUAAUUGUCUGUGUUUUAACAGGUACAAUUUUAUUAUCUUUGGGGGAAUAGAUGGCUGUUGGGUAUUUUUAUAAUUGUACCUUUUUGAGGCCUAAAAGAUGCCCAGGUUGUAUUAUAAACACAUCAUGAAUCUCUGUUUUUGCCAACUGUUGUUGUUCAUGAAAGGUUGAGCAAGGAUGUUGAUUGUGGGUUUCCAACUGAAAAUUGUACCUCUGUAACCUGAGAAGGCCCGCCUCCUCCCCCAUCCAUUGUGAAUAAAGCCCCUGACGAACUGGGAGCACACGGGAGUGAUGUGGGAAGAAGCCUUGGAGAAGGCCAUUCCUGCAUGAACUCUCCUUGAUUUUGGAGACUCAGGGUAAAAUGUC
Molecule: non-coding RNA, 3003 nt
Organism: Nothobranchius furzeri (turquoise killifish)
Lineage: Eukaryota; Metazoa; Chordata; Actinopteri; Cyprinodontiformes; Nothobranchiidae
Source: RefSeq, a predicted model, not a curated record